AUGAAGCUCCUAUGUUGGAACAUUAGGGGCUUCGGCUUUACUGGCCGGAGGCGUUAGCUCAUCGAGUAUUUGCGUCAGGAGGAGAUUGACAUUGUGAGAUUGCAGGAGAUGAUUCGCGAGGACUUUAGUAUGCAUGAGCCCUAGGGGCUUUCCCGCCAUCAGUUUUCCUGGCAGUGGUUGCCUGCUACGGGGUAA
This 195-nucleotide ribosomal RNA is filed under the name Triticum aestivum (bread wheat). RNAcentral describes it as "partial small subunit ribosomal RNA". The record is from RNAcentral. Lineage: Eukaryota; Viridiplantae; Streptophyta; Magnoliopsida; Poales; Poaceae.